AGAAGCCGUGACUUCUGACCAGGAGACCGUGUGUAAGGACUGAGGAGAACCAGGACGAACACAGGCAGCUCGAGGAAAAAGUGCAGGGCCGGAGGAGCCGUGGCCCCGGCUGUCAGCAUCCAGAGACCCAGAACGAGCCCCAACAGGACGCGGGCCUGUGUUCGAGGAGAGUACAGCGUCACUGAGGUCAGAAGGGCCUCACGCUGAGAACCGCCAAGAUCCACAGGCAGAGACCUGUGUUGAAAUCUGAAUGCUCCCCCGCAGAAAAAGAAAAAAAAAGAAAAGAGAAGAAAGAAAAAAAACCAGGAAGCAACUGGCAGUGGCCUACAUUUGUCUUUGCACUGUGUCGCCGAGGCACGGCAGAGAGGACUGGGGAGGAGACGCAGGGUGCCCACCCCGGCCCCGGACUGCAGGCCCCGUGCAAGGCACCCGUCCCGUCCCAGGUCCCCAGCACUGGUCAGCCUCAGCCACCCUCAUCUGCGCCAGGCAGGACACGCGCCUGGGGCGGCCACGCCCCUCCUUGGAGCCUGUGCGUGGCGCAUGUGGCACAGGGGCCUUGGCAGGAGGUGAGGCUAGGACCCGAGCAGAGGGCAGAGCUGCCCGGUUUCUUAGGGGACCCAGAGGAAUCCCAGGAGCCCUAAACGUGGAGGAGGAGCCGGGAGCACGGCCAGUGAGGCAGGGCUGGAGGACUGGGCUCAGCACGGGGCCCAGGGCCAGGGACAUGGGUGCCACAGGUGUCAGCCCAGGAGCGAUUCCACCGGCACCCUCAGGACCUGCUGCCCAGCCUCUUGGGAGGGGGCGCUGGUCUGAACAUCUGAUUCCUGGCGGGACAUCACCUUGCAGAACACGGACGGACAAACAGACGAAGCCUGAGCCGCCCCAGCUAAGCGCCGGUAACCCGGUCUCGCUGCUCAGCCAGACGCUCCCUCCAAGCCACACCGCCGCUCUGCCCGUCUCCACCCCAACCCGGGGAGGGAAAGAGUGCGGACUCAGGACCCCGCUCUCCUACACGCAGCGGGGACGCCGCUCCGCAAGCCAGACCUCUGCGGUCGCGGCGGAUAAAGUGUACUUGAAUUUCAGCGCUGUGGGGAAGCAAGUCACACACCCACGGGCAGGCAGCGCAGGGGGCAGAGUCUGA
This 1138-nucleotide long non-coding RNA is filed under the name Chinchilla lanigera (long-tailed chinchilla). RNAcentral describes it as "lncRNA (ENSCLAG00000025571.1)". The record is from RNAcentral. Lineage: Eukaryota; Metazoa; Chordata; Mammalia; Rodentia; Chinchillidae.